AGGAUUGUCAUGCUGAUGGAAGUAGUAUGUGUUAGUUCUUUCAUGACAGUCUAUAUUGGUUGUGUUCACCAGUACAAUUCAUUGGAUUCCCAGCCUGAUGUUUUAAAAUCACUUUAUUCUCCACUUCAACCAUCAAGUUCUCUGGAAGGUUUGAGGUACCAGGAUGGUGGUCGCCUGUCAGAUCAGCAGAUGGCGUUGUUGCAAUAUCAGCAAGAAAAUAUACACUUUUUGGGUGAGGAGAUUCUUAGACUGCAAGAAACCUUGAGCAAA
Molecule: unclassified non-coding RNA, 270 nt
Filed under: Hevea brasiliensis (rubber tree)
Lineage: Eukaryota; Viridiplantae; Streptophyta; Magnoliopsida; Malpighiales; Euphorbiaceae
Source: RNAcentral